AAGCAUAUCAAUAAGCGGAGGAAAAGAAACCAACAGGGAUUGCCUUAGUAACGGCGAGUGAAGCGGCAACAGCUCAAAUUUGAAAUCUGGCCCUUGGGUCCGAAUUGUAAUUUGUAGAGGAUGAUUUUGGUGCGGUAUCUUCCGAGUUCCUUGGAACAGGACGCCUUAGAGGGUGAGAGCCCCGUACGGUUGAAUGCCUAGCCUCUGUAAAUCUCCUUCGACGAGUCGAGUAGUUUGGGAAUGCUGCUCUAAAUGGGAGGUAAAUUUCUUCUAAAGCUAAAUAUUGGCCAGAGACCGAUAGCGCACAAGUAGAGUGAUCGAAAGAUGAAAAGCACUUUGAAAAGAGGGUUAAAUAGCACGUGAAAUUGUUGAAAGGGAAGGAUUUGUGACCAGACUUUUUCUGGGCGGAUCAUCCGGGGUUCUCUCCGGUGCACUUCGCCCAGUAAAGGCCAGCAUCGGUUUUCGGCGUGGGAUAAAAGCAGUAGGAAUGUGGCUCUCUACGGGGAGUGUUAUAGCCUAUUGUAUAAUACCGCGCUGGGGACCGAGGUUCGCGCUUCUGCAAGGAUGCUGGCGUAAUGGUUAUCAAUCACCCGUCUUGAAACACGGACCAAGGAGUCGAACAUUUGUGCAAGUGUUUGGGUGUUAAACCCUCACGCGUAAUGAAAGUGAACGGAGGUGAGAGCCCUUACGGGUGCAUCAUCGACCGAUCCUGAAGUUUUCGGAUGGAUUUGAGUAAGAGCAUAACUGUUCGGACCCGAAAGAUGGUGAACUAUGCGUGGAUAGGGUGAAGCCAGAGGAAACUCUGGUGGAGGCUCGCAGCGGUUCUGACGUGCAAAUCGAUCGUCAAAUCUGCGCAUGGGGGCGAAAGACUAAUCGAACCAUCUAGUAGCUGGUUACCGCCGAU
Molecule: ribosomal RNA, 904 nt
Filed under: Neopestalotiopsis formicidarum
Lineage: Eukaryota; Fungi; Ascomycota; Sordariomycetes; Amphisphaeriales; Sporocadaceae
Description: Neopestalotiopsis formicarum partial large subunit ribosomal RNA
Rfam family: Eukaryotic large subunit ribosomal RNA
Source: RNAcentral